This is a long non-coding RNA of Microplitis mediator, 523 nucleotides long. RefSeq lists it as uncharacterized. Lineage: Eukaryota; Metazoa; Arthropoda; Insecta; Hymenoptera; Braconidae. The transcript is spliced from 3 exons. The record is from RefSeq and is a predicted model, not a curated record.
AAACUAUUAAUUUCUAUAAGCUACGCCUUGCUGUAGACACAGAAGGAAAUAUAAUCUAAUGGAUUUACUUUCAUAUCGCGAUAGUUUGAAAAUAACUUCUCACUCAAUUUUGUGUUAGACUUGCAAGUACUCGCAUCAUUAGUUUAUGCAGACGAAAAAACAAGAUGUCGAAAGUAAUUCUAUUAUUAUCAAUUAUUUUAUUCGUCGGUCUUUAUACUCAUGCAGUUGAAGGAUGCAGAGGCCAAAGUUGCAACCCUCUAAAACAGCUACAUUGUUGCCCGCGUUAUACAUGCACCGUAGCUAUCUUUGACGGCAUAUGCAGACCUGAUUUUGAAGCUAUUUUAGUGCCAACUUAUCCAUCAAUCGAAAAGAUUCGGAAUAUUACUGGAGUAGAGCCGUACUGAAUGCUACAAAAAGUAUACUAUUGAAACGAAAAGAUUUUUGGUCUGUAUCUACAUCUGUACGUCAAAAUAAUUAAUAAAUAGAGACUUCGUAAACCUACCUAAUUUUAUUUUAUUUUUUA